This 402-nucleotide long non-coding RNA is filed under the name Brassica rapa (field mustard). Its description in RNAcentral is "long non-coding RNA (BRAP_LNC005866)". The record is from RNAcentral. Lineage: Eukaryota; Viridiplantae; Streptophyta; Magnoliopsida; Brassicales; Brassicaceae.
AUGAAAAUUUUAAAAAUACAACAAAAUAUAAUGAUAUACCAUGUAUAAGUGAAAGGAAAACAACAACUAAAAAGAAGAAAAAAAGAACAUCAAUCUCAUUUUUCUAUUUAGUGUGUUAGUAAUGAUAUCCAUUAAUUGGUUUAAGAAUAUAAAUUUUAUUUGAUAAUAUUAAUAUAUUUGGCUGGCACACUAAAACAAAGCAAAACUAAAAAAAAAAUAUAUAGCUCUUAAAUAUUAAUAAAAUACAAAUAUAAACAAAACAAAUUAUAUAGUAAAUAAAAUAUUAUAAAUGAACAGAUUAAAAUGCAUAAACCGCGCGUAGCGCGGUGAAAAGUUCUAGUGUUCUAUAAAUGUUUUAAAUGGUAUAAAACCAUGAGAAUAUCGCAAGAUAUUACUGGCCGC